Tachysurus fulvidraco (yellow catfish) is the source of this 3097-nucleotide long non-coding RNA. RefSeq lists it as uncharacterized. Lineage: Eukaryota; Metazoa; Chordata; Actinopteri; Siluriformes; Bagridae. The transcript is spliced from 10 exons. The record is from RefSeq and is a predicted model, not a curated record.
CUUGUCUUCAGAACUUGAGAGCCCUGUAAGCUACAAGUGAUAUCUGUUCACAAUGGAUAUUCAAAUGGUUAUGAAUCUUAAACAGUUUCUUUUAGGGGGAAAAUAUCCCAAGGACGCUAAUAAGCAUCAGCGUUACAUCCUGAAACGGAAAGCCUCGAAUUUCUGCAUGGUUGGUAAGUAAUUAGCAGAGGAGCAAAAUGUAAAGGUUGGUAAGGACAUAACUAUGUCUAUAAAAUAGGCCUAAUUCAUCUAAUAUAAGUUAUGCUGCCUAAAAUUUGACUUUGCAAAUGCCAGUAAAGUUACUUGAAUAUGUUCAUUUGCACCCUCAUUUAUAUACUUUAAAAAUAUCACCCUAAUCACACUGAAUCCAUAUUUAUUUGAAUUACUUUUGUGUGACUGAUUAACCAUUAUAUGUUAUGCUAACUAAAGGGCACACUGCAUGUCCCUGUAGUCAAAUUAUUUUGAAACCUUUCCAGGGAUAUCAUAAUUUUUGUCCAGGCCAGUUUCAUUAAUUUAUUUAUUAUUGUUAUUUUUUUUAAUAAAUGCUUCUAUUGAACAUCAAAUCAUGCAAUUUCUGAUUUUUAUUAAUUUUGUUGGUAAAUGUGUAUUUGUUUAUUAGUUUUGUCAGUUUCAAUUUAUUUCAGUGACAUUUCUGUGUUUCUUUUUGGAAGGGGAGAGUACCAACAAUUUUUUCUGCAUCUAUACAUCUACAUGCAAGUGCAAGGAUUUGAUUAAGUUUGACAGUUCAUACUAUUUUUAAAAAGGAUCUUAUGAUUCUGAUUUAUAUAAUGUUUUAAAUUAAUUUUUUCCAGAUGACAAUUUUUUACAUUCGACACAAGGGAUCCAGCCUGGUGAAAAAAUGUAAAGUUGUUUACGUUGCAGAAGAGGCCGACAAGCUGUUUCAGGAGUUUCAUUGUAGCAACAUAGGUGCACAUUUUGGCCAGCUUAAAACUAGAGAUGCCAUUUCUCAGCGGUACUACUGGCCUGGCAUGUCAGCAGACAUAGAGAAAUGGGUAUCACAGUGUACAGUGUGCCAGAAAAAUACGAAAGAUAUAAAGCUGAAGACGGACCUCAAACCGAUCAAGUCAAGACUCCAUUCGAACUGUUUGGAAUGGACUUAAUUGGAAAGUUGGCCAAAUCUGACCAGGAAAAUCAGUAUAUAUGUGUAAUAGUAGACUAUUGCACAAGAUGGGCACAGGCAUAUCCCCUUAAAACAAAGUCUGCUAAAGAGGUUACACAGUCCAUAUUAAAAUUUGUUUACCAAUUUGGAGUGCUGGAACAAGUUUUAACAGAUCAAGGCAGAGAGUUUGUCAACACAAUCAACACUGAGGUCUGCAAAAUCCUUGGUAUAAAAAUAAAUCUUUGUGCCCCAUACCACCCUCAGACCAACAGAUUGGUGGAGAGGCUCAAUGGCACUUUACAGAGAGCCCUUGCUAAACUAGUUGAGGACAAACCCAAUACCUGGAACCAAUAUUUGGAAGCAGUCACGAAAUAGAGGGGAAAAGUGUUGACCUUGUUGAUUCAGAUGGCCAGCCAACAUGCAAGGUCAACAUUGACCAUCUGAAAAAGCAUCAUGAGGAGACUCCAAGGAUACCUUACAAGUUGAGAAGGCAUCAACAAUUUGUCCCCUCUCAGCCACCCAAUAAAGCCUCAUCUCCUCCUCCACCUUCAGGCUUCUCUCCUCCUCCACCUUCAGGCUUCUCUCCUCCUCCACCUUCAGGCUCCUCUCCUCUUCCACCUCCAGCUGCAGACUACAGUCCUCCUGCAACUGCUGACCCCACUCCUUCUCUAGCUGCUCACUGCUCUCUUCAUGUAUCUGCUCAAACCUCCAUUCAUGAAAAGUGCAUACAAGAUGCAUGGGGAGGCAAUAAGUCACAUGUCCUCCUGUCAAGAAUAGGGCCCUAUAAACUAUUUUAUUGGGACUGCUCCCAAUCAAGAGCUCGAGAGUGAGGUGAUCAAUGCAUACAUGGCCCACACUGUAAAGAGCAACAAUCAGAUACGAGAAAAGAAAGCACUUCAUAUUGAUUCCUUUGAAAUGACACGCAUAUGGGAGAGAAGGGGCUCAAGAUUGAAAGCAAUAUUUCCUUCGGAAAGAAGAAGCCUUAUUUUGGAUCCCCUGGGAAAUGAUUCAAAGAAACUCCAACAGUGUUUGCAGUCCACAAGGGCCCUCAUCAGAAAACAAGGCUGCCAUAUAUCGAGGUGGGCAUCCAGCACAGAUGCACACAGUUGUCAGGAAGAUGCCACCUCAUGUGGGAUAUUUGUCCUGAAAAUAACCUAUCUGAGCUGUGCCACAACUGUGGGAAGAAGAGCAAUGGGCAAACAGAGAGUGAGGGGAAAAAAAUGAACCAUCAUCAUGUACAUCAUGGGUAAAAUGCUGUUAAAAUAAGGCAGUUAAUGACAGUGUUCUGACCAUUCUGAACCCCUUGUACAUGGCAUCUGUCUUGAAAUAGAAUGUUGUAUGUGGAUCCCAGCUCAGAUGUUUCAGAUAUUAACUUUGAAAUGUUUCCUUUCAGUGUGACGUGUGUGUGACCGUUGGUUUCACACAGUGUGUUCAAGAGCCCGAUCCCAUUAAGUCCUACAGCUGUGCCGAGUGCACAUUUUAAGAAUCUCCUCCAUUCCCCUGUUAUUAUUUACUAUUUAUAUUUUAGUAUUAAAUUUACCAUUAAAACAAAUAAGUUGUAAAAAUGUGUCUUUUUUUAUGAUUAUUAUUUUUAGCAUUAUUAGCAGAAUUAGAUUUCUUUGAAAGAUUACAUGUAUUUUACACAACAACAGUAUUAAAUGGGAUAUAUGAUUUACAUUUGUGGUUAAAAUUAGUAGUUACGUUCAUGAGACACUUGAGGACACAAUCAUAUUUAAGUAAUCUGGUGUGUUCGACAUUAUCAACCACAUAACAGUAUGGUCAUUAUUUUUAUGGCUUUGUGGAGAACAUUCAAUUCAAUUUGGUGUGAAAUAGAGGGAGGUAACGGAUUCUGAUAACCUGUAAUAGCACCUUAUCAUAUUUUGUGAGCAUGCUGCAAGUUUGUUUCUGUUGACAUGAGACCCAAAUCCCUUUUGGAGAACAAUAACGAAUUCCAGUAUUUUAUUCUGCACUUUAUUA